Long non-coding RNA from Andrographis paniculata, 4484 nucleotides. RefSeq lists it as uncharacterized. The record is from RefSeq and is a predicted model, not a curated record. The transcript has 5 exons. NCBI's taxonomy places the organism in Eukaryota, Viridiplantae, Streptophyta, Magnoliopsida, Lamiales, Acanthaceae.
UUAGCCGCAUCCUCUCCUUCUUUCUCUCUCCCCGUUUCAAUCGCAAUCGCAGCUGCCCCGCCUUUUCUGAACCGCCGCCGGUCCGCGAACUCCCUCCACAACCGAGAUUCUCCUUCGGAUUGAUUCUUCAGGGAGUUCUUCUUCUACUCUUAAUCUAUAUUGCAUUCUCUUGAGUAGCCUCUAUCGAUUAUUGCCUAGAUAUUAUAUAAAAUCAGUUGAUGAUGAAGAAUUUUAAUUUGGGCGAUUUUUGUAGAGGUUCUUUGAUGGAAUCGAUAAAUGGAUGCAUAUAGAUUAUUGGGAGAGAUUAUUGGGUGAUUGAGAUUUUCGACUAACAUUUGAAUGUUUCUUGUGAAAUUGUUUUUGGUGUUGGAAUUUAUUGAGGAAUUGUAAUUUGAUUGUGAAUUAUUUUGUGUAAAGGCGCGAUGGGGAAGGUGCAAAAGUCGGAUCCCUCCUACUGCCCCGACCAAUGCGAGUCUUGGGUCUCUUUCUCAGUGGCCGGUCACCCCAACCUAUUCCAGGAAAGUUUAUUUUCUCUGCCCCUUUUGUUUAAUCUUUAUUUCUUGCAAUAAGGACAUUUCCUGAAUUAGGUGUGGUGGGGAGAUUAGAACUUUUGAUGCAAUAUAAUGCUUUAUUUUGAUAACUUCCCUACAUGUCCUCUUGUGUAUUUUGAGUCGAGGUUGUUGUGCUUACUUAGUUCAUUAGGAUCUUUCCGUGUUUGUUGAUGAAGUUAGAUGACGAAUGUGUUUAGCGUUUUAACAAAGAACCCUUAAGUGAGUUAUUUGGGCCUUAUUUGAGCAAAUUCACUCAUACAUAUCAUAUAUGCUCAAUUUUUCUUGGAUUGUGUGAACAUAUGUUGUAUUUGACUACCUAGAACUUGCUUGCUUAUGUUUAUUUACUCCGCAUUUCUUGAGAAUUGAUGGGAUUAAAAUGAUAAGGCACUAGCCCGUGUUGGCCUUAAUUUCAUAUCUUCACCUAUAUUAUCCCUUAGUGAACCAAGUUUGAGCUUAAUGUUAUUAUCUUAUUUUUCUUGGUUUAUAUUUAACCCCAAGCCGAUAAGCCCUUUUAUUAGAUUAAGCUAAACACUUACUUGAACCCAUGGGAACUUGAGGAAUUGUUCUUUGAUUCAUUACAUUAGAUUAUUUAGAGUUGCAUUCAUUAUACGAUAUUAUUCCGAAGUUGUAUUUGAGAGUAUUCAUAUUGUGGCACGGUUAUAAAUUCAUAUAUAUUUUUUCCAAAAGUAUCUCAUUAUCUAGCCCCUUAAAGAAAAAAUAAUGAAAAGGGGCUGAAAAAAGAAAAAAAUGAAAGGAAAAAAAUGAAAUAUUACGAGUCCUUAAAAAAAAAAGACUCGUGUAAAAGAAAGAAAGUAUGUUCUUGUAUUGCAUUGAUCAUCACUUGUGAAAUAUUUUGUUGUUCUUGUUCAUUCAUAUAUGCGACUUGCACUCAUUGUGAUGUGAUGAAUUGAUAGAUUAAUUACUCGGUCCCAUUACCCGUUAAUAUCCUCUUUCCUACCCCAAUCAUGGCCCCAUCACAACCUUUAAUUAAGAACUUUGAUAUGAACGUUAAUUUCUUGAUGAAUUGUGGAGUUGAUUUGAUUUGCUUGCAAGCCUAUGUGAUUCUUCAUUUACUUCAUGUGCAUUGAGUGAAUAUAGCCUAAACACAUGAGGAUGAGAGCUUUACAUUGUAUACAUUCCACAUUUUGGUGAGGUUAGUUGGUUCUUUCAUGCUUUGAAUCUGAUGUAAUUGAUGACACAACUAAGUGACUUUUGCGCUAGUGAGUAUCUCAAUUCUUGGUUUGGACAUAUGCUUGAGCACAAGCAUGGAAUAGGUGUGGGGGAAUUGAUAUGUGCUAUAUAUGAUACUAUUUUGCUAUAUUUUGGGCAACUCUUUUAAUGCAGAAUUUUGUAUAUAUGCUAUUCAUGGUGUAUUUUUGAUUGCGUAAUAGGUUUCAUGGAGUUGACAAGUUUUGGGGUGUAUUUGGGAGACAAUGAGCAUAACGCACGAAGACUGUAGGCGUGAUCACAUAACACAAUGUGGGAAAUGUGGAAUUUGCAAAAAGGCCCUCCGAGGUAAAUUGGCAAUAUAAAAAGUAUUUGAGAUUUAAUUGCAAAGGGGAUCUAUUUAAAAGAGGAUCUUGGGAUAGAGAAUCAAGAGACACAUGAUUUACAAUUGAAGAGGGGAAGAGGAGGGGACUACCACAUUUUACCACGACAUUAUUUUUCUUGAAGGGAAGAAAAAAGAGCACGGAAGAGAGGAGAACUUGGAAGAGGAUUGCAGACGACUUUUCGGGGUGCUCUUCUAUUAUUGUUGAUCUCUAAAGGUAAUUGGUUUAUACAAGAGAAGAGCUGUAAAAUACUUUUUUUUUUAAUAGCGAGUGGAAGACCCAAAGCUCAUGAUGGUGCCAUUGCUAAUGAGGCAUCAGGUUCAAAGAAGAAGAUCAAACUAUAGAUGAUGUUUUGAAACGAUUGGUUGAAUGUUUAUGUUCAUAGGUGCUUUCCACAGUUGAUUGAAGUGGUUAAAGGUUCCACGAAGGAAAAAGUUGUUAGGGUGGUCAUCUUAACUCUUAUGAAUUUGCAACACGAAGGACAUUUGGUGCUCAGAUCGUGGACCUUGGACUCCCACAGAUAGUUCAGAACUUAACAGCUCGGGUAUGGAGUGAUGAGGUGAGUAUUUAUCUAGGGUUAGAGACUUAUAAUUGGUUAUUUAUCAUUUCUUAUAGAAAAAUAAAAAACCCUAUAAACAAGAUAUCUAAAUAUCCUUUAAUUUGAUGCUAUUCCCAUACCAAUAAGGCUAGAAAUGAAUCAAUUCUCUAUUUUCUGUGAAUGAUUUCAAAAUUUUGAGUUUUUGAAUUGUCAGAUGAUAGCUUUUAUGUAUUCGGAGAUCGAGCCUGUGAUUAAGGAUGUUGGAUGGAAUAUCCUUUUUCUUACUACAUCUUGGUUAUAUUUUUCAAAUUUAUGUCCACUUUUUUUCUUCUUUCUUUUUUAUUUUUCUUCUUAUCCUUCCCGUCUUCCUUAUCAUUUUCUUCUAAGUUGUGCUGCCAUCUCUGAGAUCGAGCCAGUGAUUAAGGAUGUCAGCUUUGCUUUUUAACUUUUAUCGAAGUAGUGAGCAACGCCUAGUUAGAUCAUUUAGCUUAUAUUCCAGUUAUGUAUAGUGCUUGCCUUUGAUAGAAUUCCUUGUGGUUUCAACUCCUUGCUUGGUAAAGUCUUGAUUGAUCUAUAAAUUUUCUCUUGUUUUGGUUGCUUGACAUAAAAGAAGGUUAAUUAUUGUAGUUGCUAUUGAACUUUGAUACAAUUUGAUUGCAUGUUCAUAGUAUAUAUGCUUUGUUAAUUUCUUACUAAGUGUGAGGAGAGAUAUUUGCUAUUCCAAAUUUUGUUGCUAACUUGAGAAUUUUCAGGAGCCUAGGAUGCUAUCAAUAUGGUCGUUGUUAUGGAGCCAGGGAAGUUCGCCUUAUUGAAUUUCUUGAUUCCUUAACUUAAUAUUUCGUUGGUUUGUGUUCUUAACAAUUAUCCUAAUGAGUCUUUGAUAUUUUUUACAUGCAUUUUGAAUUGUUGUGUAAUAUAUUGGUUUCCAGCUUGUUCUUAUCUGCGAUUAGUGUAGAUUAUGCUAGGCCUAACGAUUGAGAUGUGCUUUACUUAGGUUGAUGUUGGAAUUAGCUUUAGCUGCUGUCUUGCGCUGAUUUUUUUUUCCUCUUUCGGUUAAAUGGCCUUUUGGCUGCUGCUGGUUGCAUUUUUCUUCGGGAAGAACUAAAAUCUAGUAACGAUUUGCUGUUUGGGUUAAUUGUAGCUCGUCCUUGAUGUUGGGCGAAGUUGUUCGAGGAUGAACAAAAUAUAAGGGAAGUUUGUUGUGAUUUCAUCAUUAAUUUUAUUUAAGUUAAUUUGUUUCCGGGCUGCUUUUCUUAGUGUAAUGUGAAUUCCUGCUAGCAUUAGCAUUGCAAUAUGGGAUUAGAUUACUAUGGUAGAUUUUAAAGAUAAGUUUAGUUUAGAUUAGCUUACCUGUCGUUGUCUUCGUAUAUUACGAUUCAGCUUUGUCAUUUUAGCUUCAGUUUUAAUCCUUAGCCUAGCUUAGCUAUAUAUGUAAUCAAUACUAUAAUUGUCAUGUUGUCUGCUGCUGUACUUUAUGCAAUUAAUUGUUCCAUGCAUUGUAGGGAAUUAGCCGCACCGAAAGAAGGUUAGAGAUGCCGAGGAGUAAGGUCCAUGAACCACUUAUGAUUAGUUUACAUGAAUAUGUGAUGGGGUUUUAAAGUAAUAUUUAAAAUUCUGUAAAUUAGCAUGGUCUUUGCUUAUACAUCUUUAACCCAUAAGAAUGUUGUUAAUAGUUGCAAACACUUUUAUGUAGAUUGGGUCUCGUGGCUUGAAAAAACAUGGUGAGAGAUCAUGCUUUUCGUCCCCAACCUAGAUUCGUUUGCAUUUUUAAUACGUAAUAGCCAUGAAAUUUUAAGUUUUUGCAUAAUGUUUAAUGUGUAUUGUUGUUUGUAUAAUUGUGGGGCA